This 253-nucleotide ribosomal RNA is filed under the name uncultured bacterium. RNAcentral describes it as "partial 16S ribosomal RNA". It matches the Rfam family "Bacterial small subunit ribosomal RNA", at positions 524 to 776 of the family's 1533-position model. The record is from RNAcentral.
UACGGAGGGUGCGAGCGUUGUCCGGAAUCACUGGGCGUAAAGGGCGCGUAGGCGGCGCGGCUAGUCGGCGGUGAAAGCCCGGAGCUCAACUCCGGGUCGGCCGUCGAUACUUCCGGGCUUGAGCACUGUAGAGGCAGAUGGAAUUCCGGGUGUAGCGGUGGAAUGCGUAGAGAUCCGGAAGAACACCGGUGGCGAAGGCGGUCUGCUGGGGUGAGGCUGACGCUGAUGCGCGACAGCGUGGGGAGCAAUCAGG